AACGAACGCUGGCGGCAUGCCUAACACAUGCAAGUCGAACGAGACCUUCGGGUCUAGUGGCGCACGGGUGCGUAACGCGUGGGAACCUGCCCUUAGGUUCGGAAUAACUCCCCGAAAGGGGUGCUAAUACCGGAUAAUGUCUUCGGACCAAAGAUUUAUCGCCUUUGGAUGGGCCCGCGUUGGAUUAGCUAGUUGGUAGGGUAAAAGCCUACCAAGGCGACGAUCCAUAGCUGGUCUGAGAGGAUGAUCAGCCACACUGGGACUGAGACACGGCCCAGACUCCGACGGGAGGCAGCAGUGGGGAAUAUUGGACAAUGGGCGAAAGCCUGAUCAAGCAAUGCCGCGUGAGUGAUGAAGGCCUUAGGGUUGUAAAGCUCUUUUAGCCGGGAUGAUAAUGACAGUACCGGGAGAAUAAGCUCCGGCUAACUCCGUG
RNAcentral lists this ribosomal RNA (433 nucleotides) under uncultured bacterium. Its description in RNAcentral is "partial 16S ribosomal RNA". It matches the Rfam family "Bacterial small subunit ribosomal RNA", at positions 29 to 507 of the family's 1533-position model. The record is from RNAcentral.